RNAcentral lists this long non-coding RNA (1336 nucleotides) under Bos indicus x Bos taurus (hybrid cattle). RNAcentral describes it as "lncRNA (ENSBIXG00000003898.1)". The stretch from base 11 to 287 matches the Rfam family "SOX2 overlapping transcript exon 3". The record is from RNAcentral. Lineage: Eukaryota; Metazoa; Chordata; Mammalia; Artiodactyla; Bovidae.
GGGAUUGCAGUGGCAAAGCUAGGCUAGGUCUUGGAGGCUGGUGUAAGGCGAAGCGGGUGAAGGCAGGAGGGCUGAUGGAGAGACUGGGGGGAAGAAAAGCCGAAAUGGAUUCAUGGUGCCUUGGAUGGAGGACGAGAGGAGAAUUGCAAGCUCCUUCAACUCGUUCUGUCCGGUGAGAAGUGAUCAAGCUUGGGCUGACAAGAGGCUCAGGGAGCCCUCACGUUCUUUUGCUUUUUUACCUGCCAAUCAAACUGCUACAAGACAACACCCUGAUCUGGCAUGGACAUCGUGGGUCCAAGCCUGUAGCCCCAAAUCGGAUAAUCUCUGCAGCUGAUAACAAGCAAAAGAGAAGCCAGGCAACAGCCAUAUUAAAGAAGAAAACAAUCAACUCUGAGCACUGUGGAAGCUGUUUCUGUCGAAGAGGUCAGAAAUAGAAGAUAAAACCCUUGACGGUGCAUCUGCUGAUCAAGCACAAAGCAGUCAGGAAGUAGGGGUGAGGGUGUAGGUAUUUCCCUGCCAUCCUUACGAAGUCCCCCUCAAGCUACAUUGGAUGUUCACAUAGGAAAUGAUCAACACUCUUCAGUGUGCACAGGCCUACAGAAGACUUUCAGAGGGGCUGACAGACUGUGGACCCAUCAACUGGCUUCCUUGCCCUCCAGCUUCCAGUAGGCUUCAGCCAAGGAGACAUGGGGAAGAAAUGAAAGGAAGAAGACUAAGAUUGGGUCUUUAUUGGAGUAUUUAUUGCCUUGAUGGAAGAUCCAGCACCUGUUGGGUGACUUUCUCACAGAGAUCUGUGUGCCCUUCCUUUCCCGUGAUCAAAGCACUGAGAUGGGGCCCUGAAGCUGGGUUAGACCAAGCAACCUUCCACUGCGCUACAAAGAGGCUAACUCAGAAUGAACACAAGGUCCUUCCCUGUCUUGAAAUUUUGAAGUCUGCUAACAUUUUUUCUAAGAGGUAGGAAACAGCAGAAGGGGAAGCAGAUACAAAAGUAGAGGGAGAGUGAAUGUGAAAAGGAAGAGCAGUGGUCUAGGGCAUCGCUGGGAGGGGUUAGGGGGUCUGGCACAGAGGGUCAUGGGUGAAGUGGCAGGAGAUGCUGUUGGGAAGGAGAGCUGGGGCUGGCAUCUUACUGGAUGCUGAAGCACAUAGCACAGCUCCGAAAACAGUGAAAUUCAAUCAAGGGAGCUGAAUCUUACAGUAUGUUGAAGAUUCAAGCUGUCUUUGUUAAAAGAUUCAUCUUCCUAAUUAGACUGUGAGCACUACAAGGUUAGUGAUUGUUUUCCACAUUUGUAGGGUCCUGCACAGUACCUGGCAUAUGGUAAUGGUGUAUAAACCCCUG